GACGAACGCUGGCGGCGUGCUUAACACAUGCAAGUCGAACGGAAAGGCCCUGCUUUUGUGGGGUGCUCGAGUGGCGAACGGGUGAGUAACACGUGAGUAACCUGCCCUUGACUUUGGGAUAACUUCAGGAAACUGGGGCUAAUACCGGAUAGGAGCUCCUGCUGCAUGGUGGGGGUUGGAAAGUUUCGGCGGUUGGGGAUGGACUCGCGGCUUAUCAGCUUGUUGGUGGGGUAGUGGCUUACCAAGGCUUUGACGGGUAGCCGGCCUGGGGGGGUGAACGGCCACAAUGGGACGGAGAAUCAGCCCAGGAUCCUACGGGGGGCAGCAGGUGGGAAAUUUGCACAAAGGGCCGAAACCUGAAGCAACAAAGCCGCGUUCGGGAAGACGGCCUUCGGGGUUUAAAACGCUUUCAGCUGUGACGAAGGCUUGAUGACGGUAACUGGGUAAAGAUGAACGGCUAACUACGGG
RNAcentral lists this ribosomal RNA (468 nucleotides) under uncultured bacterium. RNAcentral's name for it is "partial 16S ribosomal RNA". It matches the Rfam family "Bacterial small subunit ribosomal RNA", at positions 28 to 507 of the family's 1533-position model. The record is from RNAcentral.